RNAcentral lists this ribosomal RNA (666 nucleotides) under Rhodococcus sp. (in: high G+C Gram-positive bacteria). RNAcentral's name for it is "bacterial SSU rRNA". It matches the Rfam family "Bacterial small subunit ribosomal RNA", at positions 60 to 741 of the family's 1533-position model. Lineage: Bacteria; Bacillati; Actinomycetota; Actinomycetes; Mycobacteriales; Nocardiaceae. The record is from RNAcentral.
AGUCGAACGGUAAGGCCCCUUCGGGGGUACACGAGUGGCGAACGGGUGAGUAACACGUGGGUGAUCUGCCCUGCACUCUGGGAUAAGCCUGGGAAACUGGGUCUAAUACCGGAUAUGAGCUCCUGUCGCAUGGCGGGGGUUGGAAAGGUUUACUGGUGCAGGAUGGGCCCGCGGCCUAUCAGCUUGUUGGUGGGGUAAUGGCCUACCAAGGCGACGACGGGUAGCCGGCCUGAGAGGGCGACCGGCCACACUGGGACUGAGACACGGCCCAGACUCCUACGGGAGGCAGCAGUGGGGAAUAUUGCACAAUGGGCGAAAGCCUGAUGCAGCGACGCCGCGUGAGGGAUGACGGCCUUCGGGUUGUAAACCUCUUUCAGCAGGGACGAAGCGAGAGUGACGGUACCUGCAGAAGAAGCACCGGCCAACUACGUGCCAGCAGCCGCGGUAAUACGUAGGGUGCGAGCGUUGUCCGGAAUUACUGGGCGUAAAGAGCUCGUAGGCGGUUUGUCGCGUCGUCCGUGAAAACUUGGGGCUCAACCCCAAGCUUGCGGGCGAUACGGGCAGACUUGAGUACUGCAGGGGAGACUGGAAUUCCUGGUGUAGCGGUGAAAUGCGCAGAUAUCAGGAGGAACACCGGUGGCGAAGGCGGGUCUCUGGGCAGUAACU